Molecule: small nucleolar RNA, 129 nt
Organism: Suncus etruscus (white-toothed pygmy shrew)
Lineage: Eukaryota; Metazoa; Chordata; Mammalia; Eulipotyphla; Soricidae
Product: small nucleolar RNA SNORA22
Exons: 1
Source: RefSeq, a predicted model, not a curated record
UUGCACAGUGAACACCCAAGUGUGCUUUAUAGUAUCCUUGGUUUUAAUUUUUGCUACAGAAAUUUCUGUUCUUUACCUCUUCAUUGAAAGAACUAUCGUUUUAAUUGUAUUCACAAAGUCAGCACAUUA